GUGGUCACUUCAGCAGCACAUAGACCAAAAUUGAAACUGUACACAAGUUAGCAUGGUCCCUGUAUAAGGAUGACAUGUAAAUUAACAAAACAUUCAUUAUUUUA
Molecule: small nuclear RNA, 104 nt
Organism: Erinaceus europaeus (western European hedgehog)
Lineage: Eukaryota; Metazoa; Chordata; Mammalia; Eulipotyphla; Erinaceidae
Source: Ensembl